GAUGAACGCUGGCGGCGUGCCUAAUACAUGCAAGUCGAGCGAACAGACGAGGAGCUUGCUCCUCUGACGUUAGCGGCGGACGGGUGAGUAAAACGUGGAUAACCUACCUAUAAGACUGGGAUAACUUCGGGAAACCGGAGCUAAUACCGGAUAAUAUAUUGAACCGCAUGGUUCAAUAGUGAAAGACGGUUUUGCUGUCACUUAUCGAUGGAUCCGCGCCGCAUUAGCUAGUUGGUAAGGUAACGGCUUACCAAGGCAACGAUGCGUAGCCGACCUGAGAGGGUGAUCGGCCACACUGGAACUGAGACACGGUCCAGACUCCUACGGGAGGCAGCAGUAGGGAAUCUUCCGCAAUGGGCGAAAGCUUGACGGAGCAACGCCGCGUGAGUGAUGAAGGUCUUCGGAUCGUAAAACUCUGUUAUUAGGGAAGAACAAAUGUGUAAGUAACUAUGCACGUCUUGACGGUACCUAAUCAGAAAGCCACGGCUAACUACGUG
Molecule: ribosomal RNA, 497 nt
Filed under: uncultured bacterium
Lineage: Bacteria
Description: partial 16S ribosomal RNA
Rfam family: Bacterial small subunit ribosomal RNA
Source: RNAcentral